AUGACAAAUGAAGAAACACAUGGCAGUUUGGAGACGAGCCUGCAGCAGGGCACACAGACACAUCAGCAUCGAGGAGAGGAGGGUGAGGAAUAUCAGACACCCCAGAGAGGAGACACUGGAAGUCUGGGAAAUGAAGGGAGCAGUGAGACACCUUUGUGCCUUGUCCCCCAGCAGGAGUGUUCAGCUACCUGUGCUGCAUCCCCCAGCAGCCUCCAAGAGCACCUCCCGGGCAAGGGCUCAGACAGUGAGGACUUCCUGAUCAAAUACAGCGACAUUGUCAUAGCACAAACACCAAUCUUCAGCGAGAGUCCCUCUCCAAAGGCUUUGGAGAAGGAGCCAAGAGCCAGGCCGAGUGAGGAGUGGGCCUUGACAGGGGCUGCAGAGCUGGCUGCACGAGCCCUGGGGCCUGCACCUCUGUCCCCAGGAGCCAGCGGCCCCCCAGCCUUUGCCAUGUUUGCUGACAGUUCCUGUGACAGCAAAACCACCUUGCAGUUUGAAGCUCCAGGAGUCCCAGAAGGAUCAAUUGAAGCAGAAAUUAAUGAUGCCAUAAAUUGCAUAGACCCAGCCCCUGGUGAUGAACCUACUGAGCUGAAGUCUCUACCCUACAAGGACUUUUCCUCUGCCCAAAACUGCUGCAUCCCCAAGGAAGAGGACAAUUGUGAGAUGUCUUUAACCUUCACAGAACUACAAAUCAAGGAUGCUCAGGAAGAACUUAUAUAUCCAGUAGAAGAAAGUGGCCAGCCUGAGGCAGUAGCCUAUGCAGGAAGAAGUGACAGGCACAUUAAAGAAUUUAAUCACUCCCAAAUAAAACACACAUACCUGACUGAUGCUGAGGUGCACAAGAGAGCAGCGUCACACCCUGAGCCACCUUCAGGUCUGUGCUGCACUGCUGGGCACACAGAGGAUUCCACAGCUGGUUCUGACAGCAAGAGACUGUUUGUGGAUCCUCCUAAGGGACACUCAGCUUCUGAGUGCUUCAGGCAUGUCAGAGAGCCCCCCAACCUCACUUACAUCCCCCCCAAAAGCAUUGAUGUGCCGCCCUCACACGGGGGCAGGAGCAGCAGCCAGGGCAGGAGGAGCCUGGGGCAGCCUGCAGGUGACUCUGCUGGAGGCAGGGAAGGGAAGCUGGAGCACUGCAAUUCCCAAGAGACUGACAGCCAGGAGCCUUAUGUCAUCAUUGACAGAACCGACCAGGCAGGGCUGUGCCACCACAUCUGA
Molecule: long non-coding RNA, 1218 nt
Filed under: Lonchura striata (white-rumped munia)
Lineage: Eukaryota; Metazoa; Chordata; Aves; Passeriformes; Estrildidae
Description: domestica (Bengalese finch) lncRNA (ENSLSDG00000013146.1)
Source: RNAcentral